UAGGGAAUCUUCCGCAAUGGGCGAAAGCUUGACGGAGCAACGCCGCGUGAGUGAUGAAGGUCUUCGGAUCGUAAAACUCUGUUAUUAGGGAAGAACAAAUGUGUAAGUAACUAUGCACGUCUUGACGGUACCUAAUCAGAAAGCCACGGCUAACUACGUGCCAGCAGCCGCGGUAAUACGUAGGUGGCAAGCGUUAUCCGGAAUUAUUGGGCGUAAAGCGCGCGUAGGCGGUUUUUUAAGUCUGAUGUGAAAGCCCACGGCUCAACCGUGGAGGGUCAUUGGAAACUGGAAAACUUGAGUGCAGAAGAGGAAAGUGGAAUUCCAUGUGUCGCGGUGAAAUGCGCAGAGAUAUGGAGGAACACCAGUGGCGAAGGCGACUUUCUGGUCUGUAACUGACGCUGAUGUGCGAAAGCGUGGGGAUCAAACAGG
Molecule: ribosomal RNA, 429 nt
Filed under: Actinomycetes bacterium
Lineage: Bacteria; Bacillati; Actinomycetota; Actinomycetes
Description: Actinobacteria bacterium partial 16S ribosomal RNA
Rfam family: Bacterial small subunit ribosomal RNA
Source: RNAcentral